This 253-nucleotide ribosomal RNA is filed under the name uncultured bacterium. RNAcentral describes it as "partial 16S ribosomal RNA". It matches the Rfam family "Bacterial small subunit ribosomal RNA", at positions 524 to 776 of the family's 1533-position model. The record is from RNAcentral.
UACGUAGGCAGCAAGCGUUGUUCGGAGUUACUGGGCGUAAAGGGUGCGUAGGUGGUGAGGUAAGUCGGAUGUGAAAUCUCCGGGCUCAACCCGGAAACUGCAUUGGAAACUACCUUGCUUGAGGGUUUGAGGGGGGACUGGAAUUCUCGGUGUAGCAGUGAAAUGCGUAGAUAUCGAGAGGAACACCAGUGGCGAAGGCGAGUCCCUGGAAAACACCUGACACUGAGGCACGAAAGCUAGGGGAGCAAACAGG